GACGAACGCUGGCGGCGUGCCUAAUACAUGCAAGUUGAGCGCUGAAGGUUGGUACUUGUACCAACUGGAUGAGCAGCGAACGGGUGAGUAACGCGUGGGGAAUCUGCCUUUGAGCGGGGGACAACAUUUGGAAACGAAUGCUAAUACCGCAUAAAAACUUUAAACACAAGUUUUAAGUUUGAAAGAUGCAAUUGCAUCACUCAAAGAUGAUCCCGCGUUGUAUUAGCUAGUUGGUGAGGUAAAGGCUCACCAAGGCGAUGAUACAUAGCCGACCUGGGAGGGUGAUCGGCCACAUUGGGACUGAGACACGGCCCAAACUCCUACGGGAGGCAGCAGUAGGGAAUCUUCGGCAAUGGACGAAAGUCUGACCGAGCAACGCCGCGUGAGUGAAGAAGGUUUUCGGAUCGUAAAACUCUGUUGGUAGAGAAGAGCGUUGGUGAGAGUGGAAAGCUCAUCAAGUGACGGUAACUACCCAGAAAGGGACGGCUAACUACGUG
RNAcentral lists this ribosomal RNA (497 nucleotides) under uncultured bacterium. Its description in RNAcentral is "partial 16S ribosomal RNA". It matches the Rfam family "Bacterial small subunit ribosomal RNA", at positions 28 to 507 of the family's 1533-position model. The record is from RNAcentral.